CUUGGAGAUGCGAUGAAUUUUCAUUAUUGUUUUAUUUGAUAAUUGGACAUGAAAAUAGUCUCAAGAUGAAUUUAAUAUUGAUGAUAUUUACAAUUAAAGAAAUCUUGUAAUAGAUUCUCACUUGAAUAUGUAUACACGAGUAUAACCAACUUAUGGUUGAAUCCGGACAUUGUGUACUCUUUAACCGAUAUUUUUUUUCUGUUCGUUCGUUUUCUGUUUGUUUGUUUUUUUCGUCAUAGAUCUGCACCUUUCAUUAGUGAUUUUUAUAGUUAUUAUUUUGUACUGUUACACCACUGUCCCAGGUUAGGGGGUGGCUGAGAUCCCUCUUACAUGAUUAACCCCGCCACAUUCUGUAUGUAUGAGCCUGUCCCAAGUCAGGAACCUGUAAUUCAGUGGCUGUCGUUUUUCGUUUAUUUUUUGUACAUAGAUUAUGCCGUUACUUUUUCUCGUUUGAAUUGUUUUACAUUUGUCAUUUCGGGGCCUUUUAUAGCUAAUUAUGCGGUAUGGGAUUUGCAAAUUGUUGAAGGCCGUACGGUGACCUUUAGUUGUUAAUUUCUGUGUCAUAUAAUCUCUUAUGGAGAGUUGUCUCAUGAACAAUCAUACCAAAUCUUUGUUUUUUAUUUGUUGAAAAUUUUGGGACGAUGUAUCCAAUAUUGCUUCGUAAAGCAGCGAUUAACGUUCGAAAUUAAUUGCACUGCGGUUUUACUCCGCUGUUUAGAACCAUUUAAACAUGUAACAAUAAACUGUCUCAAAUAUAUCCUUGUAUUCUUACAAUUACGAUUUUGCUUAAUAUGUUACAACGAUUCGGGAGAAACUCAAACAUAUAUUAAGGUGACUCGAUUAUCG
This 846-nucleotide long non-coding RNA is filed under the name Mytilus galloprovincialis (Mediterranean mussel). The record is from RNAcentral. Lineage: Eukaryota; Metazoa; Mollusca; Bivalvia; Mytilida; Mytilidae.